This 660-nucleotide ribosomal RNA is filed under the name uncultured Lachnospiraceae bacterium. RNAcentral describes it as "bacterial SSU rRNA". It matches the Rfam family "Bacterial small subunit ribosomal RNA", at positions 52 to 714 of the family's 1533-position model. The record is from RNAcentral. Lineage: Bacteria; Bacillati; Bacillota; Clostridia; Lachnospirales; Lachnospiraceae.
CACAUGCAAGUCGAACGAAGCACCUUUUGAGAUUCUUCGGAUGAUCGAUCGGUGACUGAGGGGCGGACGGGUGAGUAACGCGUGGGUAACCUGCCCUGUACAGGGGGAUAACAGCUGGAAACGGCUGCUAAUACCGCAUAAGCGCACGAGGAGACAUCUCCUAGUGUGAAAAACUCCGGUGGUACAGGAUGGGCCCGCGUCUGAUUAGCUGGUUGGCAGGGUAACGGCCUACCAAGGCAACGAUCAGUAGCCGGUCUGAGAGGAUGAACGGCCACAUUGGAACUGAGACACGGUCCAAACUCCUACGGGAGGCAGCAGUGGGGAAUAUUGCACAAUGGGGGAAACCCUGAUGCAGCAACGCCGCGUGAGUGAAGAAGUAUUUCGGUAUGUAAAGCUCUAUCAGCAGGGAAGAUAAUGACGGUACCUGACUAAGAAGCUCCGGCUAAAUACGUGCCAGCAGCCGCGGUAAUACGUAUGGAGCAAGCGUUAUCCGGAUUUACUGGGUGUAAAGGGUGCGUAGGUGGCAGUGCAAGUCAGAUGUGAAAGGCCGGGGCUCAACCCCGGAGCUGCAUUUGAAACUGCUCGGCUAGAGUACAGGAGAGGCAGGCGGAAUUCCUAGUGUAGCGGUGAAAUGCGUAGAUAUUAGGAGGAACACCAGUG